AGUGAACGCUGGCGGUAGGCCUAACACAUGCAAGUCGAACGGCAGCACAGUAAGAGCUUGCUCUUACGGGUGGCGAGUGGCGGACGGGUGAGGAAUACAUCGGAAUCUACUUUUUCGUGGGGGAUAACGUAGGGAAACUUACGCUAAUACCGCAUACGACCUACGGGUGAAAGCAGGGGAUCUUCUGACCUUGCGCGAUUGAAUGAGCCGAUGUCGGAUUAGCUAGUUGGCGGGGUAAAGGCCCACCAAGGCGACGAUCCGUAGCUGGUCUGAGAGGAUGAUCAGCGACACUGGAACUGAGACACGGUCCAGGCUCCUACGGGAGGCAGCAGUGGGGAAUAUUGGACAAUGGGCGCAAGCCUGAUCCAGCCAUACCGCGUGGGUGAAGAAGGCCUUCGGGUUGUAAAGCCCUUUUGUUGGGAAAGAAAAGCAGCAGGUUAAUACCCCGCUGUUCUGACGGUACCCAAAGAAUAAGCACCGGCUAACUUCGUG
RNAcentral lists this ribosomal RNA (492 nucleotides) under uncultured bacterium. RNAcentral describes it as "partial 16S ribosomal RNA". It matches the Rfam family "Bacterial small subunit ribosomal RNA", at positions 29 to 507 of the family's 1533-position model. The record is from RNAcentral.